GAGUAGGGCGGGACACGUGGUAUCCUGUCUGAAUAUGGGGGGACCAUCCUCCAAGGCUAAAUACUCCUGACUGACCGAUAGUGAACCAGUACCGUGAGGGAAAGGCGAAAAGAACCCCGGCGAGGGGAGUGAAAAAGAACCUGAAACCGUGUACGUACAAGCAGUGGGAGCCUCUUAAUGGGGUGACUGCGUACCUUUUGUAUAAUGGGUCAGCGACUUAUAUUCUGUAGCAAGGUUAACCGAAUAGGGGAGCCGAAGGGAAACCGAGUCUUAACUGGGCGUUAAGUUGCAGGGUAUAGACCCGAAACCCGGUGAUCUAGCCAUGGGCAGGUUGAAGGUUGGGUAACACUAACUGGAGGACCGAACCGACUAAUGUUGAAAAAUUAGCGGAUGACUUGUGGCUGGGGGUGAAAGGCCAAUCAAACCGGGAGAUAGCUGGUUCUCCCCGAAAGCUAUUUAGGUAGCGCCUCGUGAAUUCAUCUCCGGGGGUAGAGCACUGUUUCGGCAAGGGGGUCAUCCCGACUUACCAACCCGAUGCAAACUGCGAAUACCGGAGAAUGUUAUCACGGGAGACACACGGCGGGUGCUAACGUCCGUCGUGAAGAGGGAAACAACCCAGACCGCCAGCUAAGGUCCCAAAGUCAUGGUUAAGUGGGAAACGAUGUGGGAAGGCCCAGACAGCCAGGAUGUUGGCUUAGAAGCAGCCAUCAUUUAAAGAAAGCGUAAUAGCUCACUGGUCGAGUCGGCCUGCGCGGAAGAUGUAACGGGGCUAAACCAUGCACCGAAGCUGCGGCAGCGACACUAUGUGUUGUUGGGUAGGGGAGCGUUCUGUAAGCCUG
RNAcentral lists this ribosomal RNA (839 nucleotides) under Escherichia coli. RNAcentral's name for it is "partial 23S ribosomal RNA". It matches the Rfam family "Bacterial large subunit ribosomal RNA", at positions 410 to 1251 of the family's 2925-position model. The record is from RNAcentral. Lineage: Bacteria; Pseudomonadati; Pseudomonadota; Gammaproteobacteria; Enterobacterales; Enterobacteriaceae.